This 163-nucleotide ribosomal RNA is filed under the name Muraltia acerosa. RNAcentral's name for it is "5.8S ribosomal RNA". It matches the Rfam family "5.8S ribosomal RNA". Rfam says of the family: 5.8S ribosomal RNA (5.8S rRNA) is a component of the large subunit of the eukaryotic ribosome. It is transcribed by RNA polymerase I as part of the 45S precursor that also contains 18S and 28S rRNA. The record is from RNAcentral. Lineage: Eukaryota; Viridiplantae; Streptophyta; Magnoliopsida; Fabales; Polygalaceae.
GAACGACUCUCGGCAACGGAUAUCUCGGCUCUCGCAUCGAUGAAGAACGUAGCGAAAUGCGAUACUUGGUGUGAAUUGCAGAAUCCCGUGAACCAUCGAGUCUUUGAACGCAAGUUGCGCCCGAUGCCUUCUGGUCGAGGGCAUGUCUGCCUGGGCGUCACGC